Chiloscyllium plagiosum (whitespotted bambooshark) is the source of this 648-nucleotide non-coding RNA. Lineage: Eukaryota; Metazoa; Chordata; Chondrichthyes; Orectolobiformes; Hemiscylliidae. The record is from RefSeq and is a predicted model, not a curated record.
GAAUGCAGAAAAGUGUCAAGCAAAGAAAAAAUAGUUUUGUUAUGAUCUUAAUGAGUAUUCAUUUUGAACAUUUUAUUUAAAAUAUAGCAUGGACGCUGCUGCAAAUUUCAGCCAGAUAAAAUUGCUGCUAAAAUCACUGACUACAAAUGGGUUUGGGGAGGCGAGGCAGCAUUGGAACAAGCAGUGAGAGAGAUAGGACCGAUGUCUGUUGUGAUUAAUGCAAGUCUGAAAUCCUUUCAACAUUAUAAAGGAGCUGGGGAACAGACUGGGGUGAAGACGGGUAUAUCAAAAUUGCUAAGGAUAGAGAGAAUCACUGUGAAAUUGCCAGUUUUGUGCGGUACCCUGUCGUGUAACGAGCCAACUGAUAAGACAGAGCUUCAUCAAUCCCAGCUGAAUGAAAAUCCGGACUAUUUCUGUUAAUGCUGACUCAUUCAAGGACAUUGUUUAAUUGUCUGCUGCAAAUUUAAAAAGUGAAAUAAUAACGAUUUUUGCACAUUUCUAUCGCUUCAUAUAAAACCAAUGGCAUUGUCUGAUUGAUACAUAUCACCACUGUAAAUGAUAGAGUGAAUGCAUUCUCCAGCUUGUCGAAGACAAUAAUCUGCAUGUACUGCUGAUGUCCAACAAUAUAAUAAAGGCUGCCAGCAAUCA